AGGCUGCGCCCUGCUUAAUGCCUGAUGAUCUGAGGCAAAGUUGGACAUCCCAAAGAUGGCAUAGAUAAACAUGACCAGGAAGAGCAGGAGGCCGAUGUUAAACAACGCAGGAAGGGACAUCAUCAAAGCAAAGAGCAGCGUGCGGAUCCCCUUUGCUCCUUUGAUCAGACGUAGGAUUCGGCCAAUCCUGGCAAGACGGAUCACUCGGAACAAGCACGCGGAACACAAUCAGGAAGGAGUGGAAGAAGUCGUUCAUGUGCCACCGUGGGAGCGUACAGUCAUCAUUGAUCUUGCAGACACAUUCUUUGUAGCUCUUACCAAAGAGCUGCAUGCCGACCACAGCAAAAAUGAAGACGAUGAUGGCCAACACCAAGGCUCCGAGCACAUCAUUGGCACCAAAAUAGAGCAAAGGACUGUG
This 418-nucleotide long non-coding RNA is filed under the name Homo sapiens (human). Its description in RNAcentral is "HSALNT0306929". Lineage: Eukaryota; Metazoa; Chordata; Mammalia; Primates; Hominidae. The record is from RNAcentral.